GGCAAGAUGACCGAGCGGUCUAAGGUGUGUGACUCAAGCGUAAGGCUUGCCCCGAACGGGGUUUCUCAUCAGCAUUAGCUGGCGUGGGUUCAAAUCCCACUCUUGUCA
This is a non-coding RNA of Phellopilus nigrolimitatus, 108 nucleotides long. The record is from the annotation of a GenBank genome assembly. Lineage: Eukaryota; Fungi; Basidiomycota; Agaricomycetes; Hymenochaetales; Hymenochaetaceae.